AGGAAUCCCAAUAUAUACUAAUAAAAUAUAUUCCAAACAUCCCAAUUAUGUUAAUAACAAAUCUAUUAAUCAAGAAACAAGAAAAAAGAAACAUUCAACUACAAAUAAUAAACAAAAGAAAUAAAAGAACAGAAAGGAAACAUUUACAGAGAAUCCAUUAACGUUUCUGGGUAGUCUUAUGGUAUUUGUCUUUGAUCCAAUGGAAGCCGGUGAUGGUUCCUUCUUUGACCUUCUUCAUACCAGUAGAAGCAACAGCUUUGGUCUUUCCCAGACCUUCUCCGACCUUCUGCUUGUAUUUGUCGGCUGAACUGCUGCUGCUCUUCCUGUUCUGGGAGUCGUAAACAACAUCAGGGUUGUUGUCCCAUUGAUCGGCCCAAGAUGAUUCGUAGGAGCUGUUUCCGUUCAUUCUUAGAAGAAGGGAAGGUAUGGCUAUGGCAGGUUUUUGAACAGAGGAGGGGAAGAUUUGUUGCCAGAGAGAUUUAGCGAUGUCAGGUUUUCUUGGGGAAUCUGUUAACCAAGUCAUUGCAAUUU
RNAcentral lists this unclassified non-coding RNA (531 nucleotides) under Hevea brasiliensis (rubber tree). The record is from RNAcentral. Lineage: Eukaryota; Viridiplantae; Streptophyta; Magnoliopsida; Malpighiales; Euphorbiaceae.